This 233-nucleotide ribosomal RNA is filed under the name uncultured bacterium. Its description in RNAcentral is "partial 16S ribosomal RNA". It matches the Rfam family "Bacterial small subunit ribosomal RNA", at positions 118 to 347 of the family's 1533-position model. The record is from RNAcentral.
UGAGUAACCUGCCCUUCACUCUGGGAUAACUCCGGGAAACCGGGGCUAAUACUGGAUAUGACUCGAACAGGCAUCUGUUUCGGGUGGAAAGAUUUAUUGGUGGAAGAUGGACUCGCGGCCUAUCAGCUUGUUGGUGAGGUAAUGGCUCACCAAGGCGACGACGGGUAGCCGGCCUGAGAGGGCGAUCGGCCACACUGGGACUGAGACACGGCCCAGACUCCGUACGGGGAGCA